This 492-nucleotide ribosomal RNA is filed under the name uncultured bacterium. RNAcentral's name for it is "partial 16S ribosomal RNA". It matches the Rfam family "Bacterial small subunit ribosomal RNA", at positions 29 to 507 of the family's 1533-position model. The record is from RNAcentral.
AGUGAACGCUGGCGGUAGGCCUAACACAUGCAAGUCGAACGGCAGCACAGUAAGAGCUUGCUCUUACGGGUGGCGAGUGGCGGACGGGUGAGGAAUACAUCGGAAUCUACUUUUUCGUGGGGGAUAACGUAGGGAAACUUACGCUAAUACCGCAUACGACCUACGGGUGAAAGCAGGGGAUCUUCGGACCUUGCGCGAUUGAAUGAGCCGAUGUCGGAUUAGCUAGUUGGCGGGGUAAAGGCCCACCAAGGCGACGAUCCGUAGCUGGGCUGAGAGGAUGUUGCGGCAAACUGGAACUGAGACGCGGUCCAGACUACUACGGGAGGCAGCAGUGGGGAAUAUUGGACAAUGGGAGCAAGCCUGAUCCAGCCAUACCGCGUGGGUGAAGAAGGCCUUCGGGUUGUAAAGCCCUUUUGUUGGGGAAGAAAAGCAGCAGGUUAAUACCCCGCUGUUCUGACGGUACCCAAAGAAUAAGCACCGGCUAACUUCGUG